UUUUAAAGGGCUGCAGUAUAUUGACUGUACAAAGGUAGCAUAAUCAAUAGUCUUUUAAUUGAAGACUUGUAUGAAUGAUUUGAUGAAAUAUAAACUGUCUCUUUAUUAAAAAUAAAAUUUAAUUUUUUAGUUAAAAAGCUAAAAUAAAUAUAAAAGACGAGAAGACCCUAUAGAGUUUUAUAAUUAUUNUGAUUUAUUGCAAUUUAUAUAUUUUAAAAAUAAAUUAUAAUGAAUAUUUUAUUGGGGUGAUAGAAAAAUUUAAUAAACUUUUUUUAAAAAUUAAACAUUGAUUUAUGAAAAUAUGAUCCAUAAUUUAUGAUUACAAGAAUUAAUUACCUUAGGGAUAACAGCGUAAUUUUUUUUUUUAGUCCGAAUAAAAAAAAAAGUUUGCGACCUCGAUGUUGGAUUAAGAUAAAAUUUAAAUGCAAAAGUUUAAAAUUUU
This 442-nucleotide ribosomal RNA is filed under the name Eurema brigitta (small grass yellow). Its description in RNAcentral is "partial 16S ribosomal RNA". Lineage: Eukaryota; Metazoa; Arthropoda; Insecta; Lepidoptera; Pieridae. The record is from RNAcentral.